AAGGCUUAGUUGAGUUGAGUAGAAGCUAAAAUCAUUUAAUGUGAAUUGGUGUUAUGAUAGAGCAAUCAUGUGCAUGAAAGGAAAUCAUGAUUUUGUAUGAUCUGAAAUUGACUGAGAGGACACCACAAAGCACACCGACAUAUGUUAAGAAUUGGUAUCCUUUAAAGUAUUUUAAAAUUUUAUUAACAAGAAAUGUUCUUUUCCUUGAUUCAAAUGCCAAAUGCUGUCUUGAGGUAUUUGAUUUGUUUGGUUCAGAGGACUUUUAAGAUACAGGUGCAUGAGGCUUUAAACCAUACAAUACCAUCCCUGAUGCAACAAGAUACAAAGAAUCUCAUUUCUUUCUUAAUUUUUUUUCUUGCUUUGUGCCUUGGGUAUUGCAGUUCUGUGUAUUAUUUGUUCUCAUUCAUGCCAGGUCCUUAAUGCAUUGAACCAUUUUUGUUAAUAGUAUGAUUUUGCAAUACACUUGAAUUUGUACUGUUCUUGAAAUAGGUAUUAGAUGAGGUCAUCAUGUCCUUGCUACCAGUGAUUUUCCUAUUUUCUAUUUAUUUUAAAUAUGUUUUAGCUUUUGUAAUGCCAAUGAUGAAAUUCUUUUUCCUUAAAUUUUUAGCAGCUGGGAAUAGGAAAGGUAAUAGGCAGGUCAAGGGCGGGGAUUACUUCCCCGUCCUCACCCCAUAGAAGAUUAGGGUCGGGGCAAAAACUUCCCCAUCGGGGAGUAGGGCCCCUCUGGGGAUUUUUUUUUUAACAUACAUUAUAAAAUGUAAAUUUAUUUAUUAAAAAAUAAAAUAUAAUUAAAAAUAUA
Molecule: unclassified non-coding RNA, 799 nt
Filed under: Hevea brasiliensis (rubber tree)
Lineage: Eukaryota; Viridiplantae; Streptophyta; Magnoliopsida; Malpighiales; Euphorbiaceae
Source: RNAcentral